CGGUUUUAUUUUUUAAGCUGUUCCAACUUUAACUUUUUCUUAAUUUCUAGAAGUUCACCUGCUGACCUUCAUCUCCUUCACUCUUACAUAUGAAAGUAGUGAUAACCCUGUAAGUACAGUUCCUGUUUGCUUGCAGAAAUGGGGCAUAAUUUAUGGGUCGACAAGACCUCAAAGCAUAUUGAAUAUGUUUUAUUGACAAAUAACAUUAUGAAAAUAUGAACAGACUGCGCAGCUGCUAAAAUCUACUGUAUGUUUUGCAGCAUAACAAAGCACAGAGCAUACUGUAUAUUACACAGCUGCAAAUGUAACUAAAACACUCAGUACUGAUGCACUGUAAUGUGCGUAUCAUCGGACAGCACAGACGUACAAACCCAGCGGACAAAAGGUCUGAUUUUUGUGGGCUGGGCCUCACAGUCGACAGAUUCCUUCAUCUGCAUCUCUGCUGGGGUUCAACAUCUGGCAGGAGUCCAGAGUCCAAACACAGAGCGUGAUGGAAACCAACCUGUCUGCUGGAACAGGCAACUCACACAAGAGAGCUGGACCCUGCAGCAAGCCAGAGAGGAGAGGUCAAAGGUCAAAAUCAAGAUGUGUGUGCUGGAGUGUGUGUGUGAGGGUUUGAAGAGGGUCAAACGUUUGGUUUCUCGCUCUUCUUCAUCUGCUCCCAUGAUGAUUUUCCUCCAUAUUCCUCUUCCUUUCUCCUUGUUCUGCCCAUCUCUUGCGGUUUUCUUACUUUUUUUUUUUAUUUAAGCUUUGACACAUUUUUUCUGUGUUUUUCUGUAUUUGUUUUGUUUUUUCAGAGUGACGACAAAGAACAUCAGACCGUGUCAGUGCUGAAUAUUUCCGCCUGGUUCCUUUUCUCCUUGAAGAUGUUCCUGUUGAGAUAGUUCUCUGUAACAGGGCAGCCCUUAGCGGCUGGAAACACAGUGAGACAGACCAAGGCAAGUGUAGUGGAACAAAGUAUUUAUUUGCUAUAUGGCUCUCCUUAAAACAAUUAACUUGUCAAGCUUCUUCACAGCACAAAAAUCCAUCCUCUAAUGACAACUGGCAGCCUUAAAUAUGUUCAGCUGUCACAGACUAAACCAUUAUUCCACUCUCAGGUAAAUUCUUAAAUCCCAACCUUCCACCACAGUAUACAAUAUAUCAAUAAGAAUAAAUAAAUACAUAUAUACAUUUUCACAUUUACAUAUUAAUAAAUACUUCACACUUUAAUGUUACACCAAACCCAAUAUUAUAAAAACCCAGAAACCCGAGCACAAAAAGAUUCACCACACUCUCUUUACCAAUGGACUCUCCCGGAACCUUUAAAUGG
Molecule: long non-coding RNA, 1309 nt
Organism: Astatotilapia calliptera (eastern happy)
Lineage: Eukaryota; Metazoa; Chordata; Actinopteri; Cichliformes; Cichlidae
Source: Ensembl